CCCCAUGGCAGGAGAAUAAAGUCAAGUUUUUCCUGUUCAUCGUUCAAUGGCUCAAACGCAUCGCUCUCUCGGCAAAAGCGAAAGGAGGAGCAACUUGCCAUUUGGAUAUAUCUUAGCUGUGUUUGUGCCCUCACUCAUGGUCCAGACUUUUUUCAAAUAGGACAUGGAGUUUUUCUGCAGCAAGCGUUUUGGUAGAAACUGCGCCUCCCAUUCAUUAUAAUGGUAAAUGACCACAGACAAGUGCGCACACCAUCUUUGGACCUUGAGUGUGACGCGAUUGGGUGGGGGAGGCGGUCGCGCUGGGGGCGGCGCGACACGGCUCGGGCCCGCCAGUGCCCCACCGGGGCCCUAGUUCUUCUUCUUCUUAUUAUUAUUUUUCUGCCCCUUUGAACUGGAAAAUGGCCCACUUCCCACUGGUGAAAAGUCAUGAAAUUUGGCAGGACGACCGGGCCUGGUGAAAAAUUCGAUAUUCUGAAGUCGCCCAAAAAAUCAAAUGCAAAAUGGCUCCAUAGCGCCCCCUAAGGUGAAAAAUUCACAUGAUUGAGUGUCACGCCUGUACGCUUUGUCAAAAUGACACAAAAUUUGACACACACGUGUAUCUCAAUAAGAUCUACAAAAAAGUCAGUGCGGGCGUAUCUGUCAAAUGUACGGUUAAAGGGCUAUUUCGCAUUUUUUGCCGAUCCGCACACAUUGGAAUUUCGCUAACUCCUCCGAAGGCUUUCGUUCCACCGGCACCAAAUUUGCUCAGGCCAAUCUACACCCCAUGGCCAUUAAAAGUUGUACAAAUCAUGACGCUGCAUCCCACGGUUUACGUUCUAGGGGGCGCCAAAGAUAACCCAGAAAUCCACAUUCUUAAAAGUCGUAAAACUUUUUAUUUUUGUCCUCACUGGCCUCCAAGUUUUCUAGGAUGAUGCAAUGUCCAGCCAUCAACACAUUUGUGAAGGAAUUUUUACUCGCCAAAAGAGCGCCCCCCCAUGGCAGGAGAAAAAAGUCCAUUUUUUCUUGUCUCCUAAGGCGAAAAUUCACACUAUUGACUGUCACGCCUUUACGCUUUGUCAUAUUGACACAAAAAUUGACACACACAUGUAUCUCAAUAAGAUCUACAAAAAAGUCAGUGCGGGCGUAUCUGUCAAAUGUACGGUUAAAGGGCUAUUUCGCAUUUUUUGCCGAUCCGCACACAUUGGAAUUUCGCUAACUCCUCCGAAGGCUUUCGUUCCAAAGGCACCACAUUUGCUCAGGCCAAUCUACACCCCAUGGCCAUUAAAAGUUGUACAAAUCAUGACACUGCACCCCACGGUUUACGUUCUAGGGGGCGCCAAAGAUAACCCAAAAAUCCACAGUCUUAAAAGUCUUAUAACUUUUUAUUUUUGUCCUCACUGGCCUCCAAGUUCUCUAGGAUGAUGCAAUGUCCAGCCAUCAACACAUUUGUGAAGGAAUUUUUACUCGCCAAAAGAGCGCCCCCCCCAUGGCAGGAGAAAAAAGUCAAUUUUUUCUUGUCUCCUAAGGCGAAAAUACACAUUGUUGACUGUCACGCCUUUACGCUUUGUCAAAAUGACACAAAAUUUGACACACACAUGUAUCUCAAUAAGAUCUACGAAAAAGUCAAUGCGAGCGUAUCUGUUCAAUGUACGGUUAAAGGGCUAUUUCGCAUUUUUUGCUGAUUCGCACACAUUGGAAUGUGGCUAACUCCUCCUAAAUCUUUUGUCCCAUCGGCUUCAAAUUUGCUCAGGUCAAUCUACACCCCAUGGCCAUUCAAAGUUGUACAAAUCAUGACGCUGCACCCCAAGUUUACGUUCUAGGGGGCGCCAAAGAGGACCCAAAUAUCCACAUUUUUAAAAGUCUUAUAACUUUUUAUUUUUGUCCUCACUGGCCUCCAAGUUUUCUAGGAUGAUGCAAUGUCCAGCCAUCAACACAUUUGUGAAGGAAUUUUUUCUCCCCAAAAGAGCGCCCCCCCAUGGCAGGAGAAAAAGUCAAGUUUUUCCUGCCCAUCGCUCAAUGGCUCAAACGCAUCGCUCUCUCGGCAACACCGUAAGGAGGAGCAACUUGCCAUUUGGAUAUAUCCUAGCUGUGUUUGUGCCCUCACUCAUGGUCCAGACUUUUUUCAAAUAGGACAUGUAGUUUGUCUGCAGCGACCGUUUUGGUAGAAACUGCGCCUCCCAUUCAUUAUAAUGGGAAAUGACCACAGACAAGUGCGCACACCAUCUUUGGACCUUGAGUGUGACGCGAUCGGGGGGGGGGUAGGCGGUCGCGCUGGGGGCGGCGCGACGCGGCGCGACGCGGCUCGGGCCCGACAGUGCCCCACCGGGGCCCUAGUUAUUAUUUUUCCUCCCCUUUGAACUGGAAAAUGGCCCACUUCCCACUGGCGAAAACUCAUGAAAUUUGGCAGGACGACCGGGCCUGGUGAAAAAUUUGAUAUUCCUAAGUCGCCCAAACAAGAAAAUGCAAAAUGGCUCCAUAGCGCCCCCUAAGGUGAAAAUUCACACUAUUGACUGUCACGCCUGUACGCUUUGUCAAAAUGACACAAAAAUUGACACACACAUGUAUCUCAAUAAGAUCUACAAAAAAGUCAGUGCGGGCGUAUCUGUCAAAUGUACGGUUAAAGGGUUAUUUCGCAUUUUUUGCCGAUCCGCACACAUUGGAAUUUCGCUAACUCCUCCGAAGGCUUUCGUUCCACCGGCACCACAUUUGCUCAGGCCAAUCUACACCCCAUGGCCAUUAAAAGUUAUUCAAAUCAUGACGCUGCACCCCACGGUUUAGGUUCUAGGGGGCGCCAAAGAUAACCCUAAGAUCCACAUAUUUAAAAGUCUUAUAACUUUUUAUUUUUGCCCUCACUGGCCUCCAAGUUUUCUAGGAUGAUGCAAUGUCCAGCCAUCAACACAUUUGUGAAGGAAUUUUUACUCCCCAAAAGAGCGCCCCCCCAUGGCAGGAGAAAAAAGUCCAUUUUUUCUUGUCCCCUAAGGUGAAAAUACACAUUGUUGAGUGUAACACCUGUACGCUUUGGCAAAAUGACACAAAAAUUGACACACACAUGUAUCUCAAUAAGAUCUACGAAAAAGUCAAUGCGCACGUAUCUGUCAAAUGUACGGUUAAAGGGUUAUUCUGCAUUUUUUGCCGAUCCGCACACAUUGGAAUUUCGCUAACUCCUCCGAAGGCUUUCAUUCCACUGGUACCACAUUUGCUCAGGCCAAUCUACACCCCAUGGCCAUUAAAAGUUAUUCAAAUCAUGACGCUGCACCCCACGGUUUAGGUUCUAGGGGGCGCCAAAGAUAACCCUAAAAUCCACAUAUUUAAAAGUCUUAUAACUUUUUAUUUUUGUCCUCACUGGCCUCCAAGUUUUCUAGGAUGAUGCAAUGUCCAGCCAUCAACACAUUUGUGAAGGAAUUUUUACUCCCCAAAAGAGCGCCCCCCCAUGGCAGGAAAAAAAAGCCAAUUUUUUCUUGU
Molecule: long non-coding RNA, 3441 nt
Filed under: Xyrichtys novacula (pearly razorfish)
Lineage: Eukaryota; Metazoa; Chordata; Actinopteri; Labriformes; Labridae
Source: RNAcentral